Molecule: ribosomal RNA, 301 nt
Filed under: uncultured bacterium
Lineage: Bacteria
Description: partial 16S ribosomal RNA
Rfam family: Bacterial small subunit ribosomal RNA
Source: RNAcentral
CAGUCGCCACGGUAAUACGUAGGUGGCAAGCGUUGUCCGGAAUUAUUGGGCGUAAAGCGCGCGCAGGUGGUUUAAUAAGUCUGAUGUGAAAGCCCACGGCUCAACCGUGGGGGGUCAUUGGAAACUGUUAAACUUGAGUGCAGGAGAGAAAAGUGGAAUUCCUAGUGUAGCGGUGAAAUGCGUAGAGAUUAGGAGGAACACCAGUGGCGAAGGCGGCUUUUUGGCCUGUAACUGACACUGAGGCGCGAAAGCGUGGGGAGCAAACAGGAUUAGAGACCCCCGUAGUCCCUGUCUCUUAUAC